GCUCCAAUAGCGUAUAUUAACGUUGUUGCGGUUAAAACGCUCGUAGUUGGGUUUCUGCUUUAGCAAACCGGUCCGCCUCUGGGUGAGUUUCUGGCUUUGCUAGGGCAUCUCCAGGUAGAACCAUCUGUACUUCAUUGGACGGGUGGAAUUCUCCUGGCUUACUUUGAGGAAAUUAGAGUGUUCACGGCAGCUUGCGCCUU
This 200-nucleotide ribosomal RNA is filed under the name uncultured eukaryote. RNAcentral's name for it is "partial 18S ribosomal RNA". It matches the Rfam family "Eukaryotic small subunit ribosomal RNA", at positions 588 to 796 of the family's 1831-position model. The record is from RNAcentral.